Molecule: small RNA, 1037 nt
Filed under: Pan troglodytes (chimpanzee)
Lineage: Eukaryota; Metazoa; Chordata; Mammalia; Primates; Hominidae
Description: retained intron
Source: RNAcentral
AGUUGUUGGGACAGCGAAAUGGAGGGGUGUGUGUCUAACCUAAUGGUCUGCAACCUGGCCUACAGCGGGAAGCUGGAAGAGUUGAAGGAGAGUAUUCUGGCCGAUAAAUCCCUGGCUACUAGAACUGACCAGGACAGCAGAACUGCAUUGCACUGGGCAUGCUCAGCUGGACAUACAGAAAUUGUUGAAUUUUUGUUGCAACUUGGAGUGCCAGUGAAUGAUAAAGACGAUAUCGCUGUCAUGUUACUGGAAGGCGGGGCUAAUCCAGAUGCUAAGGACCAUUAUGAGGCUACAGCAAUGCACCGGGCAGCAGCCAAGGGUAACUUGAAGAUGAUUCAUAUCCUUCUGUACUACAAAGCAUCCACAAACAUCCAAGACACUGAGGGUAACACUCCUCUGUAAGUGACAAGUAGCAGUCAUUUGUAUUCUACCUGACAUUAGCCUUCUUGCAAUAAUUCUUAUACAUCAUUUCUUUUUUUAUUCUGCUUAUAAAUGCAAUACGUGUUAAUGACAAAAAUGUUAAAUUGCACAAAAUAUAAAGAUAAAAAUUGCCUAUUAUCUUGCCACUCAGAAAUAACUACUGAUCACAUUCUUGUGUAUUUCCUCCUGGUCUUUUAUAUUCAAAUGUAUAUAUUUUAUACAUACAUAUUUUUUAGCAAAAUUGGGGUCAUACUGUGUAUGUAGUUUUAGCUCUUGUUCUUUUCACCUCAUAGCAUAAGCAUAUAUUAAAUGUUUAAAACCUUUUUAAUGGGUAUAUAAAAUUCUGUAUAGAUGUGCCAUAAUUUAAUCAUUCCUCUAUUACUGUAUAUUUAAACUUUUGUGAGUUUUUCACUAUUAUAAAUAAUGGUACAUUGAGCCAGGCAUAAUGGCUCAUGUCUGUAAUCCCAGCACUUUGUAAAGCCAAGGCGGGAGGAUCACUUGAGGCCAGGAGUUCAAGACCAGCCUGGGCAACACAGCAAGACCCCCCGUCUCUAGAAAAAAUUAAAAACUUAGCUAGGCAUGGUGGCAUGCACCUGUAGUACUAGCUACUCGGGAGG